Molecule: long non-coding RNA, 337 nt
Filed under: Cicer arietinum (chickpea)
Lineage: Eukaryota; Viridiplantae; Streptophyta; Magnoliopsida; Fabales; Fabaceae
Description: long non-coding RNA (CARI_LNC003707)
Source: RNAcentral
UCAAAACAUCAAUUGAAUGUUAGAGAUACAAUUUGUGUUCUUGUAUGUGUGACUAUGUAUCUUUGUACAAGAGUAUAUUCUGUUUACAACAAAACUAUACACAAAACAAAAAAGGGAAAUAAUUAAAUGUCAUCCACAUGGAUGAAUCAAAAUGGCUUCUUAAGGUGCAUGAAAUCCAAUGAUGAUGAAUCAACACACUCAGCUUUGCUCCUAUAACCAUUCAACAAUUUCAACAACUCAGUAGCUUUCUCCUUUGUAUUCUCACCACAACCAACUUGCAGUAAAACAAGCAAUUUCUGAAACAUCCCAACUUGAAUUGCCUCAAUCAAAACACCUU